This 375-nucleotide ribosomal RNA is filed under the name uncultured bacterium. RNAcentral's name for it is "bacterial SSU rRNA". It matches the Rfam family "Bacterial small subunit ribosomal RNA", at positions 521 to 896 of the family's 1533-position model. The record is from RNAcentral.
UAAUACGAAGGGGGCUAGCGUUGUUCGGAAUUACUGGGCGUAAAGCGCAUGUAGGCGGCGAUUUAAGUCGGGGGUGAAAUCCCAGGGCUCAACCCUGGAACUGCCUUCGAUACUAUUUUGCUAGAGUGUGGAAGAGGUUGGUGGAACUGCAAGUGUAGAGGUGAAAUUCGUAGAUAUUUGCAAGAACACCGGUGGCGAAGGCGGCCAACUGGUCCAUUACUGACGCUGAGAUGCGAAAGCGUGGGGAGCAAACAGGAUUAGAUACCCUGGUAGUCCACGCCGUAAACGAUGAGAGCUAGCUGUUGGUCUGUUUACAGAGCAGUAGCGCAGAUAACUCAAUAAGCUCUCCGCCUGGGGAGUACGGUCGCAAGAUUA